This 468-nucleotide ribosomal RNA is filed under the name uncultured bacterium. Its description in RNAcentral is "partial 16S ribosomal RNA". It matches the Rfam family "Bacterial small subunit ribosomal RNA", at positions 28 to 507 of the family's 1533-position model. The record is from RNAcentral.
GACGAACGCUGGCGGCGUGCUUAACACAUGCAAGUCGAACGGAAAGGCCCUGCUUUUGUGGGUUGCUCGAGUGGCGAACGGGUGAGUAACACGUGAGUAACCUGCCCUUGUCUUUUGGAUAACUUCAGGAAACUGGGGCUCAUACCGGAUAGGAGCUCCUGCUGCGUGGUGGGGGUUGGAAAGUUUCGGCGGUUGGGGAUGGACUCGCGGCUUAUCCGCUUGUUGGUGGGGUAGUGGCUUACCAAGGCUUUGACGGGUAGCCGGCCUGAGAGGGUGACCGGCCACAUUGGGACUGAGGUACGGCGCAGACUCCUACGGGCGGCAGCAGUGGGGAACAUUGCACAGUGGGCGGAAGCCUGAUGCAGCAACGCCGCGUGCGGGAUGACGGCCUUCGGGUUGUAAACCGCUUUCGCCUGUGACGAAGCGUGAGUGACGGUAAUGGGUAAAGAAGCACCGGCUAACUACGUG